This 24-nucleotide non-coding RNA is filed under the name Arabidopsis thaliana (thale cress). The record is from RNAcentral. Lineage: Eukaryota; Viridiplantae; Streptophyta; Magnoliopsida; Brassicales; Brassicaceae.
ACUUAUAAAAGUGAGUGUGGAUGG